RNAcentral lists this ribosomal RNA (429 nucleotides) under Gemmatimonadota bacterium. RNAcentral's name for it is "Gemmatimonadetes bacterium partial 16S ribosomal RNA". It matches the Rfam family "Bacterial small subunit ribosomal RNA", at positions 355 to 776 of the family's 1533-position model. The record is from RNAcentral. Lineage: Bacteria; Pseudomonadati; Gemmatimonadota.
UAGGGAAUCUUCGGCAAUGGACGAAAGUCUGACCGAGCAACGCCGCGUGAGUGAAGAAGGUUUUCGGAUCGUAAAACUCUGUUGUUAGAGAAGAACAAGGACGUUAGUAACUGAACGUCCCCUGACGGUAUCUAACCAGAAAGCCACGGCUAACUACGUGCCAGCAGCCGCGGUAAUACGUAGGUGGCAAGCGUUGUCCGGAUUUAUUGGUCGUAAAGCGAGCGCAGGCGGUUUCUUAAGUCUGAUGUGAAAGCCCCCGGCUCAACCGGGGAGGGUCAUUGGAUACUGGGAGACUUGAGUGCAGAAGAGGAGAGUGGAAUUCCAUGUGUAGCGGUGAAAUUCGUAGAUAUAUGGAGGACCACCAGUGGCGAAGGCGGCUCUCUGGUCUGUAACUGACGCUGAGGCUCGAAAGCGUGGGGAGCAAACAGG